GGACGUUGCGCCGCCGACCUCAAUCUGCCGUUUCACGCGCGGUAGACGCGAUACACGCUGAGCCACUCGAAGCGUGGCAACAGUGACGGUACUCAGCACGGUCCCAAUCCUGGUCCCUCCCCCGCCUCUCCUCCCAUAGCGCUCCAGUGGAAAGAGAGUGAGAUGAGUGCGCCCCACACGGCGUUCCCGCUCCUGACGCGCGGCCGAGGCGGGGGUAGCGGCGCGAGUGCCGCAGCUCUAGCCACCCGCAUGAUUUCUGUGUCACGCGCACUGCUGUCGCCGCUGCGGUCACAGCUGCAGGACAUCCUUUGCCAGCCCCUUCCCAUCACGGAGGAGGGACUGCUCUGUGCGUUGCAGGUCGGCGCAGACCUGACGGUACCACUGACCAUCAUUGGCUCCUGCGACGACGGUGAUGGCGAAGCGGAUCUGAAGAGCAAGCUUGUCGUCCACACCACUGGACUUCCUGGCGGGUUUGUCGUGUCGGAGGAGGAACUGGUGCGCGGCCGCGCUCGCUUGCGUCCGCCACUUCCACCUGCAGCGGGAGACACCCCGUCAUCCCUUGGCUCCGUUUGCUUGAUAGAGGCAGUCACCAGGGACCUGCUUACUGCUUCAAACAACUCGCCCACGCCCUCCGCAUCGCCGCGUGGUGUCCUGGACGCCUUCUACAGACUCGCCCGCCGUCGGCACUUCUCCUUGGCGGGCAUGGCUCGCGUGCUGGAGUGUGGCUCGCGGCUGCACCCUGGCGCUUUGCAGCUUGACUUCCCUUACCACUGCGGUAGCGCGCACGCCACGAAGCGGUACCUCGACAUCACCACCGAGGUAGCCGACGUCUUCGGGGCAAACAUGCGGCACGGGACGAAGGUGCUGAGCCGCUAUGGCGUCGCCGUUAGCGUCGGCGUCGUGGACCGCCUUACGUCUUUGACAAUGCCUGCGCUCAUGUGGCACCCAUCUGGCGCACCAGCCGCUUGCCUCGCUCCCAUUCUGCUCGGCUGCCCUGUGUUGCCGUUGGGGACCGUGGCACUCGACUACAACGGGCCCGUUCCGGGCAGCUCUCUGACAAUCAAAGAAGAUCCGCGGCGGUACAUGAACAUCAUCGGUGACGAUCGUUACGACAACUCUGUGUGGCUCACGCAAGGCCUCUUCGGGGUAAAGCCAGGUGCCUCAUGGCCGCGGCCGGGGAAAGCUGGCAACGACGCCGGCACCGCCCUGACAGGGUACGAGGUAGUCGGGGUAAGGUACGACGAGGCCGCCGAGGAGAUGGAGCUGCUUGUGCGGGACGCCGUCACCAACGAAGUGGUGGCAGCAGCCGAUGUGUGACGAUGUGGCGGAACUGAAAUGAGACAGACGAAAAAAAUGCCCGAUGCGCAAGGUACCACCAACGCGUUUCACCUCUCGCCUUGUUCCAUUGAGCCGUUGCAGGUCCGUGAUCAAGUCGGCGCACACUUACCGCGGCGCACUAGACGCGGUUUUUUUUUGUUGAUCACAGAAGGGAAGCACACGCACACGACACCCCUGGGAGGCCGGGUCGCUCACAGCGUGGAAAGAAGUCACUUCCCUCCUCUUUCUUCGUUCUCUUGCCCUUUCGGCGUCCGCAUCUCGGUCGGGAACGUCUAUCGGCACGUGCUCUCU
RNAcentral lists this unclassified non-coding RNA (1629 nucleotides) under Leishmania donovani. RNAcentral describes it as "gene:LdHU3.30.3830(CDS-product:hypothetical_prote in_conserved)". The record is from RNAcentral. Lineage: Eukaryota; Euglenozoa; Kinetoplastea; Trypanosomatida; Trypanosomatidae.